GGUACCGUGGAGCUUUGUGGGCUUUGCCUGCUAUCUCUUACCCAUGUCUUUUGAGUACUUACGUUUCCUCGGCGGGUCCGCCCGCCGAUUGGACAAAAUUAAACCCUUUGCAGUUGCAAUCAGCGUCUGAAAAACAUAAUAGUUACAACUUUCAACAACGGAUCUCUUGGUUCUGGCAUCGAUGAAGAACGCAGCGAAAUGCGAUAAGUAGUGUGAAUUGCAGAAUUCAGUGAAUCAUCGAAUCUUUGAACGCACAUUGCGCCCCUUGGUAUUCCAUGGGGCAUGCCUGUUCGAGCGUCAUUUGUACCUUCAAGCUCUGCUUGGUGUUGGGUGUUUGUCUCGCCUUUGCGUGUAGACUCGCCUCAAAACAAUUGGCAGCCGGCGUAUUGAUUUCGGAGCGCAGUACAUCUCGCGCUUUGCACUCAUAACGACGACGUCCAAAAAGUACAUUUUUACACUCUUGACCUCGGAUCAGGUAGGGAUACCCGCUGAACUUAAGCAUAUCAAUAAGCGGAGGAAAAAUCGAAACCGCCGACGGUACGAAGUUUCGGAAGGCUGAUGCUGUCAUUCGAGCGAUUCGGGAAUACUAGCGCAGGAUCUCCUACUGAAGAA
RNAcentral lists this ribosomal RNA (612 nucleotides) under Dothiorella sp. HL80. Its description in RNAcentral is "eukaryotic LSU rRNA". The stretch from base 147 to 300 matches the Rfam family "5.8S ribosomal RNA". Lineage: Eukaryota; Fungi; Ascomycota; Dothideomycetes; Botryosphaeriales; Botryosphaeriaceae. The record is from RNAcentral.